GUUUCGGGGCGGAGUGAAAUUCUCCACCGGCGGUGAAAGUCCGCGAGCCGUGUGAGCGGUCGAAUCGGUGCAAUUCCGAUACCGACGGUAUAGUCCGGAUGAAAGAAU
RNAcentral lists this non-coding RNA (108 nucleotides) under pig gut metagenome. RNAcentral describes it as "FMN riboswitch (RFN element)". It matches the Rfam family "FMN riboswitch aptamer (RFN element)", at positions 8 to 131 of the family's 138-position model. From Rfam's summary of the family: The RFN element is a highly conserved domain that is found frequently in the 5'-untranslated regions of prokaryotic mRNAs that encode for flavin mononucleotide (FMN) biosynthesis and transport proteins. This element is a metabolite-dependent riboswitch that directly binds FMN in the absence of proteins. The record is from RNAcentral.